CAAUUUUACAGCAAUUGUAAUGUCAUUUCCAGGAGCACCUUUCCCUAUGAGCACAAGGACUGCAGUACUGAUACUGAUCAAGUAGCAGAAUUACUUCUCACUACUUUCUUGGGGAUAGCAGGAAAAAUCCUUGGAGAAUUUGUACAACGCAGGCUUAUGAAGCUUCAUAAAGCUGUAAUGUGAGCAUUGAAAUUCUGGUCAGCGGCAAUCUUAAGCUAUUAUUCUGCAAAUGUGUUGCUAUAGGUAGGCAGUCAGACCCACUGUUCUACUGUCUGUGACCCAUGCUGGGCUUACUCAGAUGAGAAAUGGUGAUGUUAUUCAGGUGGCUGGACCAAUCAUCACCCCCUACGCAAAAGUUACCACCACUGACCUGAGGGUUCUGAGCACUCUUGCUUUAUUUUAAUGCUAAGGAUAACACGUUAUUGUAAACUGCCCCUACCCUUAGAAAUGAUUUCACUAUAUAUGAUUCAUCUGUAAUGAUAAUUCCAUAUCUAUUGACAGGUUAUUUGAGUUACAGUCAGAGCACAGUAUAAUUUUUGUGUGACUAUUAACUCCAAUAUGCAGUGGAUGCAAUACAAAAAAAUAUGAGAAUAUGUUGCAGGACUAUGCUCCUUCAGCAUUCCCUCUGCUUAAAAUGAUCUGAACAAUCCAUGUUUACUGUCAUGGAUAUUCACAGAAAGAAAAAGUGGGCCAAAUCCAGACUUUCCUGGCCAUUUGCUUGGACACUACCACAUCCUUUGCUUGGUGGCUUCUGUUGUCAUAGCUGUGCUGUUUCAUCCUCACUUAACUGCUAUCAGGAAAUAAAAUUGUCAGGUCCCUCUUCUCUCUUUGUCUGUUGUCUGCUUGAAAAGGUAGAGUCACAAGUUUGUAAGUACAAAGGAAAAAAUAAAAUGUUGCCUCUAGAGCUCUCAUCAAAGACUUGCUCACACCAAAUAUUCUAAUGAGAGGUAAGUGAACAAUGAUUUAAAACAUGAUAACAAAUAUGUGAUGAACUACGGACAGCAUAAAUCAAUAAUUGCACUCAAGCUUUGUAGAAAUUAUACCAUCCUAGAUUCUAGCAGGAGACAAUUUGCUGCAGUAUUUUGUGAACAGAGCUAUCCUGUGGGAUCAGGCUGCAGAGGACAUUUCAGUGGGAGGAAGAGAGCAGUAGGAAGAGCAGUAUGAUUCAUGUUCAGCAUCUCAAGUGGAGGAUAGAGCACAAGGAUUGAAUAAUGAAACAAAGACGAGAUAUUCAGCAUGCCAGGAAGGUUUCUGUUAGAGAGCUGUUAGAAUUAUUUAAAAAGGUUAGUCUAUGAAUAAACAUGCUUCAUCAAGGUCUCUUACA
Molecule: long non-coding RNA, 1324 nt
Filed under: Anser brachyrhynchus (Pink-footed goose)
Lineage: Eukaryota; Metazoa; Chordata; Aves; Anseriformes; Anatidae
Description: lncRNA (ENSABRG00000003590.1)
Source: RNAcentral